CCCUUAGAUGCUCUGGGCCGCACGCGCGCUACACUGGUCGAUGCAACGAGUUUCUUUCCUUGGCCGACAGGCCUGGGCAAUCUUUGAACAUCGAUCGUGAUCGGGAUAGAUUCUUGUAAUUUUUGAUCUUAAACGAGGAAUUCCUAGUAAACGCAAGUCAUCAGCUUGCAUUGAUUACGUCCCUGCCCUUUGUACACACCGCCCGUCGCACCUACCGAUUGAGUGGUCCGGUGAAAUCUCCGGACUGGCGUGAGUCGGAGCAAUCUGACAAACACCGGAAAGUUGAUUAAACCUUACCAUUUAGAGGAAGGUGAAGUCGUAACA
This 324-nucleotide ribosomal RNA is filed under the name uncultured eukaryote. RNAcentral's name for it is "partial 18S ribosomal RNA". It matches the Rfam family "Eukaryotic small subunit ribosomal RNA", at positions 1470 to 1796 of the family's 1831-position model. The record is from RNAcentral.